Molecule: non-coding RNA, 74 nt
Organism: Aspergillus hancockii
Lineage: Eukaryota; Fungi; Ascomycota; Eurotiomycetes; Eurotiales; Aspergillaceae
Source: the annotation of a GenBank genome assembly
GCCCGGAUGGUCUAGUGGUAUGAUUCUCCCUUGUGAUUUGGGAGAGGUCCCGCGUUCGAAUCGCGGUUCGGGCC